Molecule: ribosomal RNA, 649 nt
Filed under: uncultured bacterium
Lineage: Bacteria
Description: bacterial SSU rRNA
Rfam family: Bacterial small subunit ribosomal RNA
Source: RNAcentral
AGAGUUUGAUCCUGGCUCAGAAUCAACGCUGGCGGCGUGCCUAACACAUGCAAGUCGAGCGAGAAAGGGAGCUUCGGUUCCCAAGUAAAGCGGCGGACGGGUGAGUAACACGUGGGUAAUCUGCCCUCGGGUGGGGAAUAACUCAGGGAAACCUGGGCUAAUUCCGCAUGAUAUUCCCGAUACUCAAGUAUUGGAAAUCAAAGCUGGGGACCCUUCGGGGCCUGGCGCCUGAGGAGGAGCCCGCGGCCAAUUAGCUUGUUGGUGGGGUAAUGGCCCACCAAGGCUUCGAUUGGUAGCCGGCCUGAGAGGGCGGACGGUCACACUGGGACUGAGACACGGCCCAGACUCCUACGGGAGGCAGCAGUGGGGAAUUUUUGUCAAUGGGGGAAACCCUGAACAAGCAACGCCGCGUGGAGGACGAAGACCCUCGGGUUGUAAACUCCUGUCGGAGGGGACGAAAGUGCAGGUGGUUAAUACCCAUCAGUAUUGACGGUACCCUACGAGGAAGCCCCGGCUAACUCCGUGCCAGCAGCCGCGGUAAUACGGGGGGGGCAAGCGUUGUUCGGAAUUACUGGGCGUAAAGGGCGCGUAGGCGGACCAGACAGUCUCUCGUGAAAUCCCACGGCUCAACCGUGGAACUGCGGGAGAU